Molecule: ribosomal RNA, 253 nt
Filed under: uncultured bacterium
Lineage: Bacteria
Description: partial 16S ribosomal RNA
Rfam family: Bacterial small subunit ribosomal RNA
Source: RNAcentral
UACGGAGGGUGCAAGCGUUAUCCGGAUUCACUGGGUUUAAAGGGUGCGUAGGAGGGCAGGUAAGUCAGUGGUGAAAUCUCCAAGCUUAACUUGGAAACUGCCGUUGAUACUAUCUGUCUUGAAUACCGUGGAGGUGAGCGGAAUAUGUCAUGUAGCGGUGAAAUGCUUAGAUAUGACAUAGAACACCAAUUGCAAAGGCAGCUCGCUACACGAAUAUUGACUCUGAGGCACGAAAGCGUGGGGAUCAAACAGG